RNAcentral lists this ribosomal RNA (482 nucleotides) under Loma sp. SVB-PE3. Its description in RNAcentral is "SSU rRNA". It matches the Rfam family "Microsporidia small subunit ribosomal RNA", at positions 827 to 1303 of the family's 1311-position model. Lineage: Eukaryota; Fungi; Microsporidia; Glugeidae. The record is from RNAcentral.
AUUUGACUCAACGCGGGACAACUUACCGGGCCCGACGACCGUAUGAGUGUAACACACGAUAGUUCGAAGAGUGGUGCAUGGCCGUUAACGACGAGUGGAGUGAUCUUUGGGUUAAGUCCGUAAAUUAGUGAGACCUCAGCCGUAAGGGACAGGUGCGCAAAGCACAGGAAGGAUGGGUCAAGGACAGGUCAGUGAUGCCCUUAGAUGGUCCGGGCUGCACGCGCACUACAGUGGUCGCCGAAAUAGAUUUAUAGAUUUAAAGGCGAUCGAGAGGGAAUGAGCUUUGUAAGAGGCUCAGGAACGAGGAAUUGCUAGUAAUCGCGGACUCAUUAAGACGCGAUGAAUACGUCCCUGUUCUUUGUACACACCGCCCGUCGUUAUCGAAGAUGAAGACAGGCGCGAACGAUCUACCAGAAAGUGAGCGCAGGUCUUUAGAUCUGAUACAAGUCGUAACAAGGUAGCUGUAGGAGAACCUGUAGCUG